RNAcentral lists this transfer RNA (71 nucleotides) under Stegodyphus mimosarum. It matches the Rfam family "tRNA". Rfam says of the family: Transfer RNA (tRNA) molecules are approximately 80 nucleotides in length. The record is from Rfam by way of RNAcentral. Lineage: Eukaryota; Metazoa; Arthropoda; Arachnida; Araneae; Eresidae.
GCCUUCGUCGUGUAAUGGUAACAUACUCGGCGCAUAUUCGAGAGGUCCAGGUUCGAGUCCCGGCGAGGGCA